UGCUCCAGAAACUAAAGCUAGCCCUCUGUUAAGAACCACACACUGGUUCAUUGUACUGAAUAUAGGUAUAUAUGCUACAAGCUAUCUUGACUCUACAUUUAAUGGAGAGUUACCCAACACUAUUCAUGACAUCAUGUAAACAAAUGCUGAUAAUAGCCAGGUGAGAUGAACCCUCUGUCCCUCAAUUUUUUUCAUAGAUCAUGGACAGAACUGAAGAAUGAAAACUAGUCAGCAAGACCUGAGUGGCUACACUGGCUAAGAAAAAUAAGAAAAUAAGAAAGAAAAUCCCAGAUUCAUUAUUACUGUUUGCUCAGGAAGGAAAUGUUUAAAGAGGAAAGAAGACAAAAUGCAUUUGGCAUUAUGGGAAUCACAUUUUCAAUACUACCAUCCAAUCAUAUUCUACAAAGCCCUUCCACCAGAAAAGGCUGUCAGCUAUUCAGUCCUUUUUUCAGGCUGUGGGACUGGCAGGCAGCAACCACUUCAUAGCCCCCUCCUGCAUUGCUGCUCACUGACCUCCAUGGGUGCAGACAUGCAUUGUGCUGCAAGGCCUCAGCCCCCAGAACCGAUGGAGCCAAUAUUUUCCCAAAGAUGCACAGGGUAAGAAGAGAGGCAAAUAACAAAAGCUGCAGCAAGGAAGGAUCAAGAAAUUCAUCUCUCUGGCACACCCCCCAGAAAUGCAGCAGUGGAGCAGGUCACCCAGAAAAGUUCUACAUGCUCCAUCCUUGGAAGUUUUCAAGAUAAAGCCCUGACCCCAGAUCUGGCCUUAUUUCAGUAGAGACCUCAUGAGGUCCCUUCCAAUCAGUUACUAAAGCUGUCUUUAAUUUUUCUAUUGCUGGGUGGAAACUAAUUAUUAUCUACAAAAACUAGCGCUAAAGUCAGAUUGGGUAGAAAGUACUGUUACUAUUACUGAAUUCAGGUUAAGCAUUUUGCUCAAUGAUUGACCACUUAGUGUUUGUACUGCUGUUGGGCAGGUAUUGCUGGUUUCAUAUAUAGCCUUACACAUACAGAUUAUGCUUGCCAGUCAUACCCUGGAGCCAUGCCCACAGGCAGAUGAAUUACACUACAUUAUAUGACAACUAAUCCUCUUCAGGAAGUAAAACAAAUAGCUUCAAAAGUGAAUAAUACUUUAUAUUCUUUCAUAAAGCACCCAUAAUUUAUUGCAACUAAAGUGAAAAUUUAGCACCAAAAGCAUUCCAUAGGGAUAUCACAAUAAAAUUAUCUUUCACAUCAUGUCGUAACUCAGCCAUGAUGUAUAUUGUGUGAGCUGUACCAAGGCUGUCUGAUGAUUUUUGCUUCCUCCAUCAGCAACAGCAAAAAAAUACAAUUCCAAAUUGUAUGCACAGGUAUUAGAUGGAAAACCAGAUUUAGAUUUUAUUCUUUCCCACUGCUUAUUUUUCUACUUACAGAUUUUCUUUAACAAUGAAAGAAUUGUAAAAGUCUCAGACACUGAAGGAAUAAGCUGCUCAAAAAACCUAUGUUUUUCUUACUAUAAAAACAUCUCAUACGGAUACACCAAGGUGAGGAAAAAAUAUUAAAGGAAACAAAAAUCAUUAGAAAUAUUGAUGUGACAGAUUAUUGUGUAUCAUACCUGAAUUCUUAACACAUUUAUCGAAAAAAACACAGGCUGUGUUUGCACUGUCAACUAAGACAGCAGUAAGGAAUAAAUAAGCAGUAAAUGACAGCCUGAGCUGAAACCUGAUCCCCCAUUUCCAGGGAAAAAGCUAACGAUCAGUGUGCUAUUUGGACUUGAGUCCAGCUGAGACUGGACUGUAGCCACCACCUUUUCUUUUUAGUUUCUGAGUUUCAGCUGGGCUGCAGCAGGUAACAGCAUUAGAGCUCAGCUCUAACAGUCAGCAUCAGAACGAAGGAAGGAAAAGUGCUGUGCUCUGCUCUGGUCCCAGGGGGCUCCUGCCUCCCAGCUGAGCUUGAAGCACGGCUAUGUGCCUGUAUAUCUCCCCUCUGUUUUGGGGACCUGAUGACUGAGAGCUUCCCUUCACAGCUGAUGCCUCCCAGGAACAGAAGGGGAGAAAUGCCUGUCUCUCAGAAAGGAUAUGCUGCUCAAAUUGAAUUCAGACGGUCAGUCUGUGUCAAUGUGUCUGUCCACAAAGGACCAAGGGACUACAGUUAGGAGCCUGACAAUUUAAAUGAGAGGUGAGGUUGGUUACAAGUUCUAGUUCUUGACUAACACCCAACAU
This is a long non-coding RNA of Pezoporus flaviventris, 2195 nucleotides long. RefSeq lists it as uncharacterized. NCBI's taxonomy places the organism in Eukaryota, Metazoa, Chordata, Aves, Psittaciformes, Psittacidae. The record is from RefSeq and is a predicted model, not a curated record. The transcript has 5 exons.